UACGUAGGUGGCGAGCGUUGUCCGGAUUUACUGGGCGUAAAGGGAGCGUAGGCGGAUUUUUAAGUGAGAUGUGAAAUACUCGGGCUCAACUUGAGUGCUGCAUUUCAAACUGGAAGUCUAGAGUGCAGGAGAGGAGAAUGGAAUUCCUAGUGUAGCGGUGAAAUGCGUAGAGAUUAGGAAGAACACCAGUGGCGAAGGCGAUUCUCUGGACUGUAACUGACGCUGAGGCUCAAAAGCGUGGGGAGCAAACAGG
RNAcentral lists this ribosomal RNA (253 nucleotides) under uncultured bacterium. RNAcentral's name for it is "partial 16S ribosomal RNA". It matches the Rfam family "Bacterial small subunit ribosomal RNA", at positions 524 to 776 of the family's 1533-position model. The record is from RNAcentral.